Lonchura striata (white-rumped munia) is the source of this 9250-nucleotide non-coding RNA. The record is from RefSeq and is a predicted model, not a curated record. NCBI's taxonomy places the organism in Eukaryota, Metazoa, Chordata, Aves, Passeriformes, Estrildidae.
AAUUAAUGAAACAUUUUAAAAAGGUGGGCUUGGGGAAGCAGUUUAUCAUAGGGAAAAUGAAAAUAUUUGUGUGACGGGUGACACGAUCUUGUGGCACAUCCCAACAUGAUAUUACAUAGUAAGAACAUUAUGACAGUUAUGGUGCCUGAACUGCUACUCUUCUGUUACUCUCCUUAAGGAGAAAGACAGAGCUGCUGUAAGCUUCUUGACAUGUGGUCAGAGUGGUCUAAUCCAGAUGCCUCAAAUGUAAGUUUACCUGUGGAUCCUGGUGGGCCUCGGGGUCCUUGUGUUCCAACACCUGGAUUGCCUUUCUCUCCUUUCUCACCUGGUAAACCUAAGGAAAUAGUAUUCAAUCACAUUUUGAUCAAAAGUGUGAGUAGUGUUUAUUAUUGAACCAGGAUUAUAGUUCCAUAUGUUAUUUUUCAUCUAAAAACAGAUGGCAGAGAAGGAAGAAGGUGAAAAUUAAAAAUUGUUUGGUUCUUUUUCCAUCCCUCCCCUGACAGCCUCUGAAGGGAAAAGUCAUUCUUGGGGUCUUAAACAUUCCUGCUGCCAUGGUGGUUUCAUCAGGAUGGCAUGCAGAGGCAUCAGCCAGUUUCCAGGCUGCACUUCCUGUGGAAAGCUGCCUCUGAACUACACCAGCGCGCUACUAUUGUAACUGCUACCUCUUAGGGCAAAACAGCUGGAGAACACCUCAUUUUUGCAAGGAAUCACAGAAUCACAGAAUAUGCCAAGUUGGAAGACACCACAAAGAUCAUCAAGUCUGGUUCCCAGCCCUGUACAGGACCAUCACCAUGAGCCACCAUGUGCCUGAGAGCAUUGUCCAAAAGCUUCUUGAGCUCUGUCAGGCUGAUGCUGUGGCCACUUCCCUGGAGAGCAAUUCCAGUGCCUGAACACCCUCUGGGUAAAAAACCUUUUUCUGAUACCCAGCCUAUGCCUCCCCUGACACUUCAGGCCAUUCCCUUGGGUUUGUCACUGGUCACCACAGAGCAGAGAUCAGUGCCUGCCCCUCCUGACAAGGAAGUUGUAACUGCAAUGAGGUCUCUCCUCAGUCUCCAGGCUGAACAAACCAAGUGGUCUCAGCCCCUCCUCAUCAGGCUUCCCCUCAGGGAGUUACAGAAGAUAUUUUUUACCUUCUUAAGCUAAUUUGUAAUGGAAGCAAAUAAAUAAAAAGUCUAAGUGUGGAAAAAAUUGUAAUUAAAACCCCUCAGUGGCAAAGAAUUGCUCGCACAAGUUUAUCAAAUACGAGUCUGCUGAACUGAAGUGGAUUCAGCAUCUGUGGAGUUCUGGGUCUUCUGCAGGAGCAAGAGGCUUCCAGGGCAACAUAAUGUCUGGCCCAACGACAUGGAAAACACAAGUUACACCACUGCAACCAGUAAAUCCACAGUGAGCACAUCAUUUUUAACCAAAUCAUGGAAGACCUUUUUACCUUACCUCUACAAGGUUCUUUGUCACUGUCCUGGCAUAGUUAAGGCAUUGCCUGUUUGUUUUGCUUUUUUGCCUUUUAUUUCCUUCAGUUGUAUAAUUUUGAGGGAAGGGUGGUGGUGGUUUUUUCCACAUGCUUGAAAUUUGCUUAGCCCUGGCUUGCUUCAAACAUAUGCAGAAACUCAUCUAUUGCAAUUCUCUGUCUGUGCUGCAGGCCUUGUAAUAAGGUAAAUGUUACAAUCCAAAUUAACUCUCACCACAGAGGACCUGCAAGGAAAGGUUUGCCCUUUGCAAAAGGUAAAAUCUGUUUGUGUGAAUUGCUUUUUUCCUUAGAAGAUUGACCCAUUACAACCAUCUGCAAUCUACACAGCUGUUUAGUACAAGGACCAUUGCUUAUCCUACUGCAUGAUAACAUUACUUGGUGACUUCAAAGGCAACAGCCACAAUGUUUUGAAAUCACAGCCUGCCAUGCACUCAAUUAUAAUUAUUAACACAUAAAACUACACACUCAUAUGUGAUGUUCACAGGAUAAAAUGUCAGUAAGAAAUGCUAAACAUGGAAUGAAUCUACUCAGGCUAAGAAGAAAACAUUUAUUCUAGAAUAAAUGAUGAAUAUCUUGUGCAGGGCAAACCUUCUUCGAAAGCAAACACUGAAGGCCAAGAUAAAAGUCUGCAUCAGGUUUCUUUUAGUCUGAUUUCCAGUAAAGUUUAUCCAAGUUAAAGAGAACAUAAACACUGAGGCAAAAAUAUCCUACUCUUAAGGCAAAAUGCUCAUGAGUUAAAGCCAUGAGCUUCCCUAAGGGACUUAAGAGACUCACAGACCUCUUGGCUCACUCCUGAUAAAUGGCAGAAUAUUCAAAAUUGACCCAAGUCAUAUUUGGUGCUAGCAGAGCAUGGCUCACAGAAAGUCAAGCAAACAAGCCAUCACUCUUGUGGGUUACUGCAUUGUGGGUUGCUGCAAUGGUUAAUUGCCCUAGAACGAAAGUGUGUGUAUCCAAACUGCCAUUUGAGUUACGAAUGCCUUCGGAUCCCAGGAACUGCUUUCAUAUCUGUGCUCUGGACAUGCUUCAGCAAUAACAUCAAACUGUCUCCCCCCUCAUAACCAUGGCUUUACGUCUUGUCCCCAUCCAAAAUACACGUCUUCAGUUCAGCCCCAUGGAGAUCACAAGCAACUGAAAUCAAUUAUUUCCAGCCCUUCAUUAAAAAUAACUGAUAGCAUCAGUUAUUGAAAACACCAAACUCAUGAACAUGUUCUCUAGCAAAGAAAAAUAAAUUUCCAUGGUAUCUGCACAAAUGGAAAUAUCAGGUGUUCUUUACCUGUUUUGUCUUCAAGAAAAUACUGUCCUGUGAGAACUAUGCACUUAAGAAAAAUUAAACUAUACCAAAAAUGUCCUCUUUUCAAGAUGUUCAGCUGUGAGCAUAGUGUAAAAUAACACAUGGUUGUGAUUUUUUUUCUUUUCUAAUACAGAUGAAGCUAAAACUGGAAAUUAAAAUAUUUAGUUGAUGAAACUGGCAAAAGUUCCAUUUAAUUCCACUGAAAUUUUGCCAUCACAGCUGUAAACGUGUCUUUUGAUAACACAUGUUUAACUGGCUCUUUCAUAUGAAGCCAGGAAGUAAAUAAGGAUGAAGCUGUGCUUGAGAACAGUAACUUUCCCAGUGACAGCUUAGGUAUUUAUUGUAUUUUAAUCAUAGUGGGGAUGGGCUGAGUAGCUGUAAGUUUUAUUCACCACUUUAGACCACAUAAGAGCUGAAGUCCAUUCAGUAGUAGAAGAGCUGCACUUUCACAGCAUCUGAAAGUUAGCAGUGCCUCAGAAUAAUUUUUACUAUGGCUUUUCCAUCUUUCCACAAAGUUGAGAAAACUACCCAUAUAUUACAAAAAUAACUAGAAACCAAAAAGAAGAAAACAACAUGUUGAUUCUUUUGGUUUCUGUACCAUUUUGCAGAGAUGCAACUACCUCCUGGGCACUCAGAAGUCAGGCACUAGUUGUUUAAGUCCCAGAUCAUAAACAAAAACAAAACAAAAUAUGUUCAAACUAGCUGAAAGGAAGAUAGAAACCAAUGCUGUGAGCUAGUUAAAAUUAAAAUAGAGAUAAGGGCUGUGAAUAAUCAGUGUUUGUUUUUUCUUCCAAACUCCUAUACUUAUGCAAAUAAGCAAAGAGCAAAAUUGUAGUGAUUUAUCUGGGAUUAUAUGCUGUAGGGGCCUGGUAAUAAAAUGUGGCCUCUCAGCUGGCAACAGACACUGAGAACUGAAUCUGGCGAGGGAAUGACUUGUCCUUUCUCACUGAGGUGGUCUUUCUUGGAAAGACCAGCUCAAUGUGCUACUACUAAGGGGAAUCCCAUCCAGGAAUGGGACAUCAUGGACAUAGAAGUUCAAGUGGAGGUUUCUAACAGAGCUCCAUACACUCAAUCCAUGUCUCUUUCCAAAGCCUCUGAUUAAUGCUUGGCAGAGUGACAACAUAAACAAGGGAAAAGAAGCUGUUAGCCAGGCAAGUUAGCAGGGAAGUUCACUGAUGUCUCCCACUGCUGACAUUUCCAGUAAAGGUCUCUGUGGUGCACCAUUUCUAGACAGUUCCACAUGCUGCUUUAUGAAGUGCCCCCUUCUUAUAGAUUGGGCUUGAAAAGGUGGUAGGCAAGAGAGCUGAGCUGAAAGAAACAUCUGGCCUUCUUCCCACUCCACCAGAACCUUGCCACUCAGCUCGGAGCCCGUAACAGGCUCUUGUAGCAAUUCCAACGGUUUGAGGGGGGGAAAGCAGCACUACUAGAUAAGCAAACCAGUGUUUUUUCCUUCUAAUGACUAUUACUUCUUAGCACACUCGGCUGCAGGGAAUUUCCUGAACUUAAAUGCACAACUUGACUUUCAGAGUUGCAAAUCUGGCACUGGGCUUGAACAUUAAAUCGGCUUCAUAUGCAACCAAAAUGCUGAUGACAUUAAUGGAACACAUUUUACAUAAAGACUUCCAGGUGGCUGGCUGGAGAUCUUCAGGACGGGAUGAAACAUUGUGUUUGCCGAACAAGUUAAAUGAAAACAAUGCUCCAGAACAUAGCAAGGGAUGGAGUCUGACUCCAUUUACUCUCCUCUCUGUCGUCACUGGAAACUUAAAAACCCUUCCAUCCAGAAGCUGAGCAAUUUAAUCUGCUGCUUCCAUGUAUGACAUGUCAAAUCAAGCAAGAAUUGGGAAUCCAUGAAAAACUUCCAAUCAUUCUCCACAAGCUGGUUAAAUAAAUUUAAAUUUUAAUUUUUGCAUUUUGGGGUUGGCUUAAAGCAAUUCCUUAGAAAUUUAUUCAGAAACACCAUGAGUCUGUAGCAAAAGAUAUCUUUCUGCUCAGUAAAGUCCUACUGCAUCAAACACACAUCAGUCUGAAAGUUUAGUAGUUUCUGAAGAAAUUAAAACCUCAAGAAGCAAUAAAUUAUUAUAUGCUUUCAUCUCAUUUCUAAAGGAGCUCCUUCCUGUUUCUUUCAGAUUCUUUUUAAGGCUCCAGUUACAUGAAUGUCCUAAAAUCUAUUUUAACUCCAAAUAAAUUAGACAAUUAUUUUGUCUUAAAGUUUACGCAUGGAUUCUUGAUUCUUGAAACAACUUCAUUUUAAACUGAAAAUAUUGUAGAACACUCCCAACAUUUGGUAUCACAUUUUAUGAAAAUCUGACUGCAGUUCUGAAAGAUGCUUGAUUAGAGCUUUCUCUCUACCAAGUAUAAAACUCCCCACAAGCACUACCUGCCAAAAUCAGUUCCUUCUAACAUCAGUUAUCCAUAUAGAGAGGGAAGGGGCAAUAUUCUUUUUCAUGUCUUUUUACCCUUUCUGCGCUCUAUUGCCAAUGCUGCUUCCCAAACAUUCAUAUUGUCUGCAGUGGGCCAACCCACAUGAUGUUUCAUUUAAAUGACUGUAUCUAAUCAGUCUGUGAUCCCACAAUAUGCAUGUCUGGACAUCAGCACAGCAAAUACAAAAAAGUACAGGCUAAAUGUUGGAUAUGUUCCUUUUUUGUAGCCCGGCAUUUUGGUUUUCCCUUUCCCAAAGUCCUAGCUUGAAAAUUCUCUUCCCAGAAAGAAGGGAAAUAUUUAAAAUAUGCUAGUGUGGAAUCAAAUAUCCUGAAAUCUGUAUUAACUGUCUCCAGAUCACCCUUUUUAAAGUCAGUUCCUCAAUUGCUGUCUCUUCCAAUCUUCUUUUCUACUUGUCUCACACUACCUCAUUCCUCCUCCUUUCUGGAUAGUGCCUGUUUUUUGCUCAGCUGGAGCAGGCAACAGCAGGACUGAAGGGUCAGCACCUGAAACCUUCCUUUUUUUUUUCAAAAUGGUAAUGAGAUUUACAGUCUUGAGGGCAAGACUCACAAGUUCACUCAAAAGACUUUCUAUUUAAAAAGUAUUUAGUUAACUAUGGUUAUAAUAGCUACUGUGAACUGGAACUAUUAAAUUCCUGAAUAGUCUUCACAGCAGUUAAUUUUUAAAAUCCCAGUUAGCAUAUUUUGUAACAGCAACACCAAUUCACUGCUUCUGAAUAUCACAUUUGUCUCUUGGGUUUUUGGUCACCUCCUCAUGUGAUGUUCUUUAAAGCACUUUCACAAUUAUAGAUCUACUCAGUAUUAUGUCCUGAGGUUAGUGCUACUCUGGGACACAAAAGAUAGCCAGGGCUGCACAGAAAGAGAGUGAAUCAAACAUGGAGCUUGUUUCAUUAUUAGAAAAUGCUCAUGGAGGAAAGGAGAAUGGGAUCUAGCCUGCACAUGAGAAUACAGAAGAUAAUUCUUGUAAAUGUUAAAUGUAUUACUUCUCUCUGACCUCACCAUUUCCUCUUCUUGAUUCUCCAAACCCCUCAAAGUAGGAAUUUUUCUCUCUUUUUAUCAAUCUUGCUUCUUUCAGGUGAUCAUGACUCAGAAAUUCCUAGACUGACACAUUUGAAGUUAUCAGAAAAGCUCAGCAUUUCCCCAACAUACACAUCAAUUUUGCAUCUGACUCUCUUCAAUUGCUCUUUUGCAUAUACACUUAGAGAUUACGCUCACUUUAGAGUCUUACUAAGAAGAAACAUGAUGUGAUGGGAUGUGCACAAUUAGAUUCCACCAAUCUUCAGCAGUUUAAACAUUAAACCUCCGUCUGAUCCUGCCAAAACACACUUGGCAAAGCCUGCAUGAUUUUCAUGACAGAGUCUCCAAAGCCUUCAUUAUGGUCUGUGUUAAGCUCACCAAUUAAUUAAUGAGAAAAUGUUGCUUUCACAUUUAGACGGGAGACAAAAGUUGUUAGAAUGUAUCAGGAAAGGGAGGUAUAAUUUUGUGUUUGUGAAGAAUGAAGCCUACCUCUUUCUCCUGGUCUUCCUGGCUGACCAGGGCUUCCUGGAAACCCUUGCAUGCCUGGUGAUCCUUGCUCACCCUGUGGCCCUGGAGCCCCUGGCCGACCUGGCUCACCAGGAGGUCCCGCGAUGGUUCGUGUUGAGACAGACUGGCUUGGAAUCUGGUUCAGAAUCGAGUUAUAUCUUGCCAUAUGACCUGUCAGGAAUAAAAAGUUGUCAUUUUCAAGUAGCAGUGGAAAAUCUGGUUCCACACAGUUUCAGCAGAAUACUAGGAGGUUCUCAAGGCUGUGGUCUGUCAUGCUUUGGAAAGUUGUGUACUACUAGGGAAGAAGUAGUAGGUUAGGGAGGGCACAAAAACUGGAAGAACAAUUGUGCAGGAUUUUAUUUUCUUACUUCAGUAAGGGUUUGGGAGGCAUCUGUAUUUUAUGUCUAUAAAAAUUUUAAAUUGGUGCAGCAGAAGCUUCUGUAUACUGUAAUAGCUUGGAGACAAUUCCAGCUUUUUUUUUUCAGAAGGCUGAUGCUAAUCAGCACUAGCUGGACAUAAAUCCAGUUGAACAUAAAUCUAGUUGAAACAUAAAUCUCAACUGUCUAGUCUAAAACAAACAGAUACCCUUGGAUAUUUUGAAAAAUGUCAUAUUUGUAAUUAACUGUGGCAGAAAAAUCCAUUCUAGAGAGAGGAGCAUAUGGACUAUUUACUUGCCUUGGAUGAGCUGCUCACACACUUGACGAGCAACAGCCCGGACCAUUGCUUGGGACUGGAGAUCGCCCUGGAUAACAACAGCAGCAGAGUCAUGCAACUUUUCUUGAAUCAGUUCUGUGCUGACAGCACUUUGAGCAAAGAAGGAUAUUUAUUAUUGCUGAGACAUUACAUCCUCACAGAUGAGAAAGUAAAGCCAAAGAAAUUUUGUGAUUUCAUUGGCUUCCAUUUCUCUUUUUGGCCAGCAAUCAGAGGUCUGAAAAGAUAACCCUAAUGAGGGAUUUGGAGGCAUGCUUACUGCCACAUACUAACCACCUUCAAAACAUUAAUGUAGCUAUAUAAAAGACCAUGUCUGGAAAAGAAGGAAAGUUUGCUUAAUUGAAAAGAGAAAACUACUGUGCCUAUAAACAGAGAAACAUAAAUUUUUGGGAAAAGCUCUUUAUAAGACAGAAGGCCAGGCAGGAAAAAAAACCCACAGCUAACAUGAACACAGACUUACCCUUUCACCCCUUUCCCCCUUAGCUCCAGGAGGACCCUAUGAAAAGAUUCAAUACAAAAUUAAUUAUCUUUUUGCUCUGUUCAAAAUUUUUAACACCAGAACUUUGUCUGCCUUGCAGAUUCAUAGUAAAGGGAGAAGAAAUAAACAAUAAACAAGCUUUCAGGAGGUUAAGUGACAGUCACAAAUACACUUCUAUCAUUUCAGUACUCAACAAAAUGUUCACCUUUGGCAAGUACGUGGGAAAAAUUACUUUCACAAGAGUUUGCCACACAUUGAAUUGAAAUGAUGCAUUUCACAUGGCUGAAACAGGUCUAAGUUUUACAAAAAUAGCAGCCUGAAAUUUGCUGUACUGAGACUCGGCAUCCAUAAUGAACAGAGUAAGCAAUGGGAUUAAGCUGCACAGAAAAUUACAUUUGACAUUAAGGAUAAUGUAAUACUGUAAUGAUAGUGAGGAGGAUUAUAGAUUUGAAACCAUAGUCUAGGGCAGUUGCAACUUCACCAAUGUCAGUUUUUGGGGUAGGCUACAUAUUUCUGACCAACAGACAAGGAAAGGUCUGUUGGUCAGAGCCUGAUGCUAAUAGCACCAAGGCCAUGGUUUGAUGCCUGUAUGGGCCAGUCACUUGAGAGCUGGACUUGGUGAUCCUUGUGGUUGCUGACAGAUACGUGGCUAAGCACAGCUUAUUCUAUCCUUGCAGAGAGGAAACUCCUACAAGACUAGAAGACUAUUUCUAAGGCCUCUACUCUAUGACUCUAUGUUUUGGAUAGAAAGCUUAGUAAUUUUUCAGCCACCUGCUUUUUUCUGCACUACUAGAGUCCAACCAUGCACAACAGAGCUCUUGCAUGACUCACAGGAAUAUCUACACUCUAGAAAAUUUUGUUCAGUAUUUGGAAACAUGUGUUUGGACAGGAACUGCAUAGUCAGCAUUCUAUAUAUUGAUAGUAAAAGUUCAAUAGCUCAUCAAAUCUCCUUUGUAUAUUCCAUUAUUACACUUAGAAACUAUGCAGACCUAGGCAUUAGAUUAUUGUCUCUGCUUAUGUAUCAUCAGUCAAUUUAAUUUCAUUUCCACUUAACCAAAUGAAAAUUCUUGCAUUGGCUAAAUCUCCAAACCAAACUGGAUUUUGGAAAAAAGUUUUCUAUUCUACAAAUAGAGUCAGAAAUCCACACUGUCCCAUUCUGAUGUCUUUAAAAAUGAAAUAGAAUGUCUACUGUAAUAGAUGGGGAAAAGCUGAACCAUCUUUAUAAUUAAAAAAGUCAUCAAAUGUUAAAAUAUGAAUACAUAAUGUUGUCUGAACUCUUACAGAGACAAAGAAGUUCACUAUAAUUUUUCUUUUACGUAAAAUAUAUAUUAAUUUCAUAGCUG